Molecule: ribosomal RNA, 1468 nt
Filed under: Lacticaseibacillus casei
Lineage: Bacteria; Bacillati; Bacillota; Bacilli; Lactobacillales; Lactobacillaceae
Description: bacterial SSU rRNA
Rfam family: Bacterial small subunit ribosomal RNA
Source: RNAcentral
GCUGGCGGCGUGCCUAAUACAUGCAAGUCGAACGAGUUCUCGUUGAUGAUCGGUGCUUGCACCGAGAUUCAACAUGGAACGAGUGGCGGACGGGUGAGUAACACGUGGGUAACCUGCCCUUAAGUGGGGGAUAACAUUUGGAAACAGAUGCUAAUACCGCAUAGAUCCAAGAACCGCAUGGUUCUUGGCUGAAAGAUGGCGUAAGCUAUCGCUUUUGGAUGGACCCGCGGCGUAUUAGCUAGUUGGUGAGGUAAUGGCUCACCAAGGCGAUGAUACGUAGCCGAACUGAGAGGUUGAUCGGCCACAUUGGGACUGAGACACGGCCCAAACUCCUACGGGAGGCAGCAGUAGGGAAUCUUCCACAAUGGACGCAAGUCUGAUGGAGCAACGCCGCGUGAGUGAAGAAGGCUUUCGGGUCGUAAAACUCUGUUGUUGGAGAAGAAUGGUCGGCAGAGUAACUGUUGUCGGCGUGACGGUAUCCAACCAGAAAGCCACGGCUAACUACGUGCCAGCAGCCGCGGUAAUACGUAGGUGGCAAGCGUUAUCCGGAUUUAUUGGGCGUAAAGCGAGCGCAGGCGGUUUUUUAAGUCUGAUGUGAAAGCCCUCGGCUUAACCGAGGAAGCGCAUCGGAAACUGGGAAACUUGAGUGCAGAAGAGGACAGUGGAACUCCAUGUGUAGCGGUGAAAUGCGUAGAUAUAUGGAAGAACACCAGUGGCGAAGGCGGCUGUCUGGUCUGUAACUGACGCUGAGGCUCGAAAGCAUGGGUAGCGAACAGGAUUAGAUACCCUGGUAGUCCAUGCCGUAAACGAUGAAUGCUAGGUGUUGGAGGGUUUCCGCCCUUCAGUGCCGCAGCUAACGCAUUAAGCAUUCCGCCUGGGGAGUACGACCGCAAGGUUGAAACUCAAAGGAAUUGACGGGGGCCCGCACAAGCGGUGGAGCAUGUGGUUUAAUUUGAAGCAACGCGAAGAACCUUACCAGGUCUUGACAUCUUUUGAUCACCUGAGAGAUCAGGUUUCCCCUUCGGGGGCAAAAUGACAGGUGGUGCAUGGUUGUCGUCAGCUCGUGUCGUGAGAUGUUGGGUUAAGUCCCGCAACGAGCGCAACCCUUAUGACUAGUUGCCAGCAUUUAGUUGGGCACUCUAGUAAGACUGCCGGUGACAAACCGGAGGAAGGUGGGGAUGACGUCAAAUCAUCAUGCCCCUUAUGACCUGGGCUACACACGUGCUACAAUGGAUGGUACAACGAGUUGCGAGACCGCGAGGUCAAGCUAAUCUCUUAAAGCCAUUCUCAGUUCGGACUGUAGGCUGCAACUCGCCUACACGAAGUCGGAAUCGCUAGUAAUCGCGGAUCAGCACGCCGCGGUGAAUACGUUCCCGGGCCUUGUACACACCGCCCGUCACACCAUGAGAGUUUGUAACACCCGAAGCCGGUGGCGUAACCCUUUUAGGGAGCGAGCCGUUAAGGUGGG